AAAGAGAAGCAAAACAACUGAUGAUUCAAGUGAGCUAAACUAUGCAAGAAUCAAGUUUGCAAAGAAGAAAGAAGCAAACCCAACCCCAGUGGGUUUGGAUAAUAUUGCAUCUGACUACGCUCAAGUCAGAGUGAACCACAACAACACAGCUGGAGGAGCGCCUUCUCAUGUCUAGCAGUGGAGAAGCUAAAGAGCAAGAUUCCCACAGACAAAGGAAGAAGGAUGGAGGUUGAACUUUACUCAGCGGAAUGUGCUUGGAUCAGGGUAAAAACCAACAGAAGGCUGGCACAAUAAUGCAGAGAGAGCUUUUAACUUCUUUAUUUAUUUUAUUGACUAUAAUGCUUUUGAUUGUUCUGUGCAAUAUUUAACUCGGUUAGGAUUUUCAAGUUGAAAUUCAAGUUUACAGAUCAUAGUAAGUCUGGUAGAUUCUAUGAAGUUUCUAAUCAAUGUUAAUAUGUCAAACUAAUGUUUUAUUAAUUCCGCUGUGUUAUUGUGACCAAGGGGCCUUAAGAGAAAAAAAUA
Long non-coding RNA from Cyprinodon variegatus (sheepshead minnow), 522 nucleotides. RefSeq lists it as uncharacterized. The record is from RefSeq and is a predicted model, not a curated record. The transcript is spliced from 3 exons. NCBI's taxonomy places the organism in Eukaryota, Metazoa, Chordata, Actinopteri, Cyprinodontiformes, Cyprinodontidae.